ACGAACGCUGGCGGCGUGCUUAACACAUGCAAGUCGAACGGAAAGGCCCUGCUUUUGUGGGGUGCUCGAGUGGCGAACGGGUGAGUAACACGUGAGUAACCUGCCCUUGACUUUGGGAUAACUUCAGGAAACUGGGGCUAAUACCGGAUAGGAGCUCCUGCUGCAUGGUGGGGGUUGGAAAGUUUCGGCGGUUGGGGAUGGACUCGCGGCUUAUCAGCUUGUUUGUGGGGUAGUGGCUUACCAAGGCUUUGACGGGUAGCCGGCCUGAGAGGGUGACCAGCCACAUUGGGACUGAGAUACGGCCCAGACUCCUACGGGAGGCAGCAGUGGGGAAUAUUGCACAAUGGGCGGAAGCCUGAUGAAGAAACGCCGCGUGCGGGAUGACGGCCUUCGGGUUGUAAACCGCUUUCGCCUGUGACGAAGCGUGAGUGACGGUAAUGGGUAAAGAAGCACCGGCUAACUACGUG
This 467-nucleotide ribosomal RNA is filed under the name uncultured bacterium. RNAcentral describes it as "partial 16S ribosomal RNA". It matches the Rfam family "Bacterial small subunit ribosomal RNA", at positions 29 to 507 of the family's 1533-position model. The record is from RNAcentral.